Molecule: non-coding RNA, 31 nt
Filed under: Mus musculus (house mouse)
Lineage: Eukaryota; Metazoa; Chordata; Mammalia; Rodentia; Muridae
Source: RNAcentral
CCAAACUCCUUAAGACUGAUAAUGGACCAGC